This is a long non-coding RNA of Passer domesticus (house sparrow), 1024 nucleotides long. RefSeq lists it as uncharacterized. The transcript is spliced from 2 exons. Lineage: Eukaryota; Metazoa; Chordata; Aves; Passeriformes; Passeridae. The record is from RefSeq and is a predicted model, not a curated record.
UAUUAGACCAAGGGGAGCAGGGCAGGGAGGGGGGCAAGAGCAGCUGCUGAGAAUGGCCAUGGGGAGAUGAUGAAAUCCCCUUUCUGCCAUAAAUAGCAUCACAGUGGGGAAAAAGACCAAAAAACCCAGAGCAGACCAUACAUCUGAAAUCAAACAGAGGGAUUGCAGGGAACAUCAGAACAGCAGCUCCAAAAAAUGAACUGGUUUUAUUUCUUUCUCUUUUCUUCCUGUUGCCCAGAUAAAAGAAUUAGUGUCUGAGAACUUCCACUCCCCAGAGUCUCAUGAGAACACAUCCUAUUGUCCCCAGUUUGAAGAAACUGAGGCAAGGGAUUGUGAUGCUGGUUUGACAGUGUCCUGGUUUCAGCUGGAGGAAGGUUAUUUUUUUCUGCCUAGUAGCUGAUACAGUGCUGUGUUUUGGAUUUGGGAUGAGAAUAGUGUUGAUGUUUUAGUUCUUGCUGAUCAGCAGCCAAGGAGUUUUCAUCCUCUCAUUCUGCCCUGCCAGCAAGGAGGCUGGAAGGGAGCAGAAGAAGCUGGGAGGGGACACAGCCAGGACAGCUGAUCCCACAGACCUAAGGGAUAUUCCAGACCAUGUGCAGAAUGCUGGACAAAAAAAAUUGGGAGGAGUUACCCAGGGGUGGUGAGUGCUGUUUGGGGACCGACUGGACAUUGCUCAGUGAGGGAUUUCUGGUGUUGACUGCAGAGAGGAGCAAACCCCAGGAUGUUUGGAGCCUGUUUUUCCAGGUUGGGUUAUUGCCCAAAUGGUGAGCACAUGGACAUGGACUUUGUUUCUAUUUUGCUGUUGGCAAACCUGGGCACUGCCACAUCAUACACAGAGCAAUGGAGAAGCAAACCUUUGGCUGACAGUGACACAAAUAACACUCGAGUCUGAGCCCUCACCAGCAGAUCAAGACCUCCAUAUCACUAGAAAAAUGUGCUGAAGUAUUCACUGCACAUACUGUUCUCCCUCAAAGGAACAGAAGUGUGCACAUCAUUAAAAGGAAAUAUUUUAUGCUGAUCAUUCCCA